UACGGAGGGUGCAAGCGUUAUCCGGAUUUACUGGGCUUAAAGGGUGCGUAGGUGGCCCGGUAAGUCAGUGGUGAAAUCUUCGAGCUUAACUCGGAAACUGCCAUUGAUACUAUCUGUCUUGAAUACUUUGGAGGUAAGCGGAAUAUGUCAUGUAGCGGUGAAAUGCUUAGAUAUGACAUAGAACACCAAUUGCGAAGGCAGCUUACUACACAGUCAUUGACACGGAGGCACGAAAGCGUGGGGAUCAAACAGG
This 253-nucleotide ribosomal RNA is filed under the name uncultured bacterium. Its description in RNAcentral is "partial 16S ribosomal RNA". It matches the Rfam family "Bacterial small subunit ribosomal RNA", at positions 524 to 776 of the family's 1533-position model. The record is from RNAcentral.